GACGAACGCUGGCGGCGUGCUUAACACAUGCAAGUCGAACGGAAAGGCCCUGCUUUUGUGGGGUGCUCGAGUGGCGAACGGGUGAGUAACACGUGAGUAACCUGCCCUUGACUUUGGGAUAACUUCAGGAAACUGGGGCUAAUACCGGAUAGGAGCUCCUGCUGCAUGGUGGGGGUUGGAAAGUUUCGGCGGUUGGGGAUGGACUCGCGGCUUAUCAGCUUGUUGGUGGGGUAGUGGCUUACCAAGGCUUUGACGGGUAGCCGGCCUGAGAGGGUGACCGGCCACAUUGGGACUGAGAUACGGCCCAGACUCCUACGGGAGGCAGCAGUGGGGAAUAUUGCACAAUGGGCGGAAGCCUGAUGCAGCAACGCCGCGUGCGGGAUGACGGCCUUCGGGUUGUAAACCGCUUUCGCCUGUGACGAAGCGUGAGUGACGGUAAUGGGUAAAGAAGCACCGGCUAACUACGUGCCAGCAGCCGCGGUGAUACGUAAGGUGCGAGCGUUGUCCGGAUUUAUUGGGCGUAAAGGGCUCGUAGGUGGUUGAUCGCGUCGGAAGUGUAAUCUUGGGGCUUAACCCUGAGCGUGCUUUCGAUACGGGUUGACUUGAGGAAGGUAGGGGAGAAUGGAAUUCCUGGUGGAGCGGUGGAAUGCGCAGAUAUCAGGAGGAACACCAGUGGCGAAGGCGGUUCUCUGAGCCUUUCCUGACGCUGAGGAGCGAAAGCGUGGGGAGCGAACAGGCUUAGAUACCCUGGUAGUCCACGCUGUAAACGGUGGGUACUAGGUGUGGGGUCCAUUCCACGGGUUCCGUGCCGUAGCUAACGCUUUAAGUACCCCGCCUGGGGAGUACGGCCGCAAGGCUAAAACUCAAAGGAAUUGACGGGGCCCCGCACAAGCGGCGGAGCAUGCGGAUUAAUUCGAUGCAACGCGUAGAACCUUACCUGGGUUUGACAUGGAUCGGGAGCGCUCAGAGAUGGGUGUGCCUCUUUUGGGGUCGGUUCACAGGUGGUGCAUGGCUGUCGUCAGCUCGUGUCGUGAGAUGUUGGGUUAAGUCCCGCAACGAGCGCAACCCUUGUUCACUGUUGCCAGCACGUUAUGGUGGGGACUCAGUGGAGACCGCCGGGGUCAACUCGGAGGAAGGUGGGGAUGACGUCAAGUCAUCAUGCCCCUUAUGUCCAGGGCUUCACGCAUGCUACAAUGGCUGGUACAGAGAGUGGCGAGCCUGUGAGGGUGAGCGAAUCUCGGAAAGCCGGUCUCAGUUCGGAUUGGGGUCUGCAACUCGACCUCAUGAAGUCGGAGUCGCUAGUAAUCGCAGAUCAGCAACGCUGCGGUGAAUACGUUCCCGGGGCU
RNAcentral lists this ribosomal RNA (1346 nucleotides) under uncultured bacterium. RNAcentral's name for it is "bacterial SSU rRNA". It matches the Rfam family "Bacterial small subunit ribosomal RNA", at positions 28 to 1381 of the family's 1533-position model. The record is from RNAcentral.